AGGAAUCCUGUGUGUUUGGCACUGUGUUCUUUUUCUAUUGCUUCCCGACAAAUCACCAUGAUCGUGGCAGCUUAAAACAAUAACGUUCUUGUUGUCACAUGGAAGGAUUCCGCGAGCGAGGAGGGUCUCUUAGCUCAGGGAGACCCCCACCGUCCCUCUUUUAAGGGCUGUCACCUGAUUAAGUCAGGCCCACCAGGACAAUCUUCCUUUUGAUGAACUCAAAACCAACUGAUUUGGGACCUUAAUUAUAUCAGUGAAAUCUCUUCGCUGUUCUGUAUUCCACUGGCUGGCACAAGUCCCACCCACCCUCAAAGGGAGGAGAUUAUACAGGCUGCGAGCCUCAAGGGGCAGAGAUCUUAGGUCCAUCUUAGAAUUCUGCCCACCAUGGGCAUGUUGUGAGUGAGAAUGGAAGCUGUGUGGCAGGUGCUGCUGGUUGCCUGCCCAAUAUUAACCCCCUUUCUUCCUAAUCAAUAAAGCCUGAUUUUGUUGAGGAGGAGAAGUGCCGAUGGAAGAGGACUUGGCUCCCAGAAUCCCUUGAAACUACCAUUGGUGAUACGACCUCGUUCUAGCCAAUGACUUGUAAAUGGCAAUCUAAAGAAAAGUUAUCACUUUCUUGAGUAAAAAGGGACAGACCCAACUAGCAUGUGCUUUUUCUUCCUUGCUUUUUCCCCUUCUUCUUGCCUGGAACUUGGACACAAAGCCGAGAGGUAGGGCAGCCGUUUUGUGACCAUGAGGCUUCCUAUUUUCUGAGGAUGGCUGAGCAGGAAGCUAGAAGGAGCCUGGGUCUCCAAGGGCAUUUUGAGCUUCUCUGGACCACUCCUGGACUUCUUGUCAUGUCUCUGUUGACUAAUGCCCACCUGAUACGAAAUGACUGAAGCUUGGAAAUAAAAAUGAUUCCAGCAUUAUAAUCAGAAUUCUAAUGAGCUCCCACGGACGCGGAAUGCGAAAUGAGCUUGAGAUGGGGCCCCUCCUUUGGAUAUGACGGAACUGGUGAUUCAAGUUUUGUACGCAUUUGCUGUCGUGUGUUGUGUAUGACGCCGGCCUGGUGAGUGCUCUUUCUGUCGAGGGCCCGCCACGGGUCCUGCUGCGUCCAGGUCCCUCCUGCGUGAUGGCUGUCAUCGCCAUCUCCAUCCUCAUCAUCCUUAAGGUCGACUUGGAAGAUUUGGACUCAGUUGAGCAGAGACUAAAAACGUUAGAAGAUCAGCCAUCACCUGGCAGGUACCCGGUGAUGCCGAUGCUGCUGGCUCCUGGGUGCUACUUUGAGGAGCCAUCUUCGAAGACCGGUGGAAGUGCUUUGUACUGUUUGUACCUUUUGGAAAUGUUGUGUGAUCAUCAACAAGUCAACUCACCCGUCUUGGUCUCAGUUUCCCCAUCCGUCAAAUGGACAAGAUGUCACCAUCAUAGGAUGGGCGGAGAGGCCUAAGCAACACAAUGGAUGCAAAGUGCCUGGCCCAUCGUGUCAAGGAAUGACCUGAACAGCUGAGGAAGAUGCUCCAUGGAUGCCAACACUUGCUCGUCUCCCCUGCCUUGGACCCCAACUUUCCAAACCGCACUUCUCUUCCCUUUGCAUGUCUAGAAGAUGGCCUGGGCCAUAGUUAGGAGUUCAGCAUUGGGAGGUUAUAUUCUCUGAGCAGCAAGACCAACACCUGAGGCCCCUCUAGUCCUGAUUGUAUCCUGUGUUGUCAGGGAGAACAGUGUCUGGCGUCCUGUCGAUCUUUCUAGAAGGGAAGAGUAAAAGCAUUGAGAUGGCAAGCGUGUGGACCAGGCAGGCAGGAUGCUAGCCUCCCUCUGCGCCAGCCCGCUAGGCAGUGGCUACGUCUUCCCAGGGCUAAGGAGAUUCCCGCUUCCCAGAGUGCCACUGUGCCCUGCAGCAAGGCGAGACGGGGGGAGCUGUCCGGGGCCCGGCUUCCUCCCCCAGCACAGACGCCUCAGUGACCGCUCCGGGCUGGCCGCGAUGUGUGUACCUUUGCUGUCUGCACCCAGCCUCGGACUCGCCCCCAGGAACCCAGGCAGAGGAUAAACCUCACCCCUGCCUCUGGGAGCCCGGUCGGGGUGCAUUAGGCCAGUGCACAGAGCAGCUGGGGUGCGGAGAAAAGGAUAGUGGACUUGGAGACUGACUCCAAGUGCCUGAACACUCUCUGGCCUCAGCUUUCUCAUCCACAAAAUGGGACCAUAAACCUUGAUUCAGAGAGGCAGGGCAGUAGAGGGCAGCAGCCCAGCCUGUCUGGAUUUUGAUCUUGGCUCCCCCGCUUGUAAGCUGUGCUUUUCCCAGAAAAUUACUUUAUCUCUCUGAUCCUCAGGUUGCUUUACUGUAAAAAGGGUGGUAAUGAUGGUACCUGGACCUCAUAGAGUUAUUGUGGAGACGAAAACAAAAUAAAGUGAGUAAAGUGCUUAGCCUGUCCCGUGGCAAACUAUGAAUGCUUGGUCUUCUUAUUUCUGGAGUUGGUUGUUUGUUCCUUCUGGGGAGUUUGUUGGAGCUGCAGGUGCAAAAGCAAAAAGACCAGUGAGAAUUGAACAGACAUUUUGAGAGAUGUCGGGAGAAUUAGCUGAGGUGACGCAUGUGGAGGACCCAGCCCUGUGCUCGGGGAGCCGAUAGCGUCAGUCCUGCUCGCUAACCCCUCUCUCCUGCCGACAAACUAACAACCAUGAGAGUUAACCCUUACAUAGCGUGUACUAUGUGCCAGGCAUUGUUCUGAGCACUGUGUAAAUGUUGAUUCACUUAAUUUCAUGAUACAUGAAGUGUGUAUCAUUAUUAUCCUCAUUUUACAGAGGAGGAAACUGAGUCACAGGGAACUUACGUAACUUGCCAAGGGUACACAGAUGUUGAAUGGUGGAGCCAGGAUUAUGAACCUGGUAGUCUGCUCGUCAGGCGCUUGCUUUGAACUGCCCCACCAGACAGUUUCUCGGAUGGCAGGCUCUGACCUUGACUUUACCGUCUACCCUCCUGUCUACUGGCUACAAGCCCAUGCUGCCUACAAGAUUGCAACCCUAAGAGUCACCUGUCCAAGCUCAACUCACCUACCUGACUCAAUUCAACUCAACUCAGUUCAACUCAACUCAGCUCAGCUCAACUCAACUCAGUUCAACUCAACUCAACUCAGCUCAGCUCAGCUCAACUCAGUUCAACCCAACUCAACUCAACUCAGCUCAGCCCAACUCAACUCAACUCAACUCAGUUCAACUCAACUCAGCUCAACUCAGCUCAGCUCAACUCAGUUCAACUCAACUCAACUCAACUCAGCUCAGCCCAACUCAGCUCAACUCAACUCAGUUCAACUCAACUCGACUCAACUCAACUCAACUUAGCUCAGCUCAACUCAACUCAGUUCAACUCAACUCAACUCAGCUCAGCUCAGCUCAACUCAGUUCAACUCAACUCAACUCAACUCAGCUCAGCCCAACUCAGCUCAACUCAACUCAGUUCAACUCAACUCAGCUCAACUCAGCUCAACUCAAGCACAAUGUGUCCAGGAGAUCUUAGGCCAGUUGUGUGACUCCAAUGAAUGAUGCAAAAUUUGGGGGUUGUCUUUCAUGCUUGUUCCAUUCCUAUUGUUCUGAUGGGAAUCUUAUCUCCCCCAUUCACAUGGAAUAAUACCAAGACAUUACGUGCACAUAGCACUGUACAGUUUAGAAAUCCUUCUACACAUGUAGCUUAUUUAUAAUGUAUGUUUUCUAAGCCAAGUCUGCUUGGAAGUGAAGCAAAAGGGAGAUUAUACAGACAAUAAUUAUAAUAAUGUGUAUUAUUAAUUGGGCAGCCACUAUGUUCCAGGCUUGGUGCUAGAUGCUUAAUAAGCAGUAGCUCGUUUAACCUGGGAACUUGUGGAAGGAGAUUAUUCUGGGCAUUUUACUGAUGAGAUACCUGAGGUGUGACUAGGCUGAGGAGCUUUUCCAAGUCACAAAGCUGGUAGGAGGCAGAGGGGUCUCCUUCCGAAGGCUGUGUCUUUCCAGAGCUCCACCCUGCCUCCAUGGGUUGACCAACGUCUAGCAGAACCAGUCUCUAGGUUGCCUCAAGAAAUCGGGGCUCAGAGGGACCAGAGAUGACCAGUGGUAUGUCCUUCCAUUACCUGUGAGCCAGAAGCUACAGGAGUUGCAAUCUCUGUGCCAGCUGAAGGUGGGUUUCCUGCUCCCAGGGAAAAACAAGGUCUGUGGAGAGAAAGCUUCUGCUUCAUGGAUUGGUAUGAUAUCACUCCUUUCUCAAAUACAUGAUUCUCGCCGAGCUGAUAGAAUGCCUGCAACCCUCCAUUCUCGCUGUAGGAUGUCUCAGAGUUCGGGCUGGAAGGAGGCCCCGGACCAUCCCCCUCAAUCUUCUUGCCUUCAGAUCUGCGGACUCUGGCCACAAGAUGUAAAUUCUCAGAGCCAGGUAGACCUCCGAGGCCAGAGCUCAGAUCUCCGCACAGUGUUUGCU
Long non-coding RNA from Equus caballus (horse), 4405 nucleotides. The record is from Ensembl. NCBI's taxonomy places the organism in Eukaryota, Metazoa, Chordata, Mammalia, Perissodactyla, Equidae.